GGGGGUGACCUGGUUUCGACGGGGAUUGGAAGCAAAGGUGGCAUGCCGGGGACGCCAGUUGGCCUCGUUAAAAAACUGGCACUUAUACAAACGCCGAUACUGACGUUUCGUACGCACUAGCAGCUUAAUUGCUGCUACGUCUUGAGUUCCAAUGCCUGUGUGGGCUUAAAGACGUCAUUUUAAUAGGCUAGUUUCGGCAAGAGUUCGUGGUGCCGGAGCGAAACUUAAGCGAAAUCGCCUGUAACAGAUCCUGUCGAUGGGAGCGGUUGCCGGUUAAACUUAAAUACACCGACUAAGCAUGUAGAGGCCUUAUGUGAAAGAUUUUCGGACGCGGGUUCGAUUCCCGCCACCUCCACCA
This 358-nucleotide transfer-messenger RNA is filed under the name Syntrophotalea acetylenivorans. Its description in RNAcentral is "Pelobacter sp. SFB93 transfer-messenger RNA". It matches the Rfam family "transfer-messenger RNA". From Rfam's summary of the family: Bacterial tmRNA, also known as 10Sa RNA or SsrA, is named for its dual tRNA and mRNA-like properties. The record is from Rfam by way of RNAcentral. Lineage: Bacteria; Pseudomonadati; Thermodesulfobacteriota; Desulfuromonadia; Desulfuromonadales; Syntrophotaleaceae. RNAcentral also lists the same sequence under 1 other name.